CCAGCCUCUCCUCUGUGAAACAGAAAAGGGAGAAAUGCUACCCCAAGUGUGCUACUAAGCUGUGCGCAGCGGCGCUGUGCUCAGGGCUGAAGGAAGACAGCCAUCCCGAAUGCAGAGACACCCACAGGGCUGGGCCAGCCUCUCCCUUCUCUUCCAUCAGCGCAAACCUCCAACAGUGGCCCAACUCACACGUGUCCUUUGCCCGGGGCUUCUGUGAGCCACUGAGCUCGAGGCCCUGCUCUUUCCCCGGAACUCCAAGAGCUCGCCCUGUGGAUCGGGUGGCUGACGACGGCUCGGAGGAGCAGGGCGAACAGGAGAGGAGCUGCACAGAGAGCCGGUAGCUAUGCAGAGAAGAUUUGGAGUGACUCAAGUAAUAAAUAUAUGAUCCAGC
This is a long non-coding RNA of Chinchilla lanigera (long-tailed chinchilla), 391 nucleotides long. RefSeq lists it as uncharacterized. The transcript has 3 exons. NCBI's taxonomy places the organism in Eukaryota, Metazoa, Chordata, Mammalia, Rodentia, Chinchillidae. The record is from RefSeq and is a predicted model, not a curated record.